AUCGCUUCUCGGCCUUUUGGCUAAGAUCAAGUGUAGUAUCUGUUCUUAUCAGUUUUAAUAUCUGAUACGUCCCCUAUCUGGGGACCAUAUAUUAAAUGGAUUUUUGGAACAGGGAGAUGGAAGAGAGCUUGCUCUGUCCACUCCACGCAUCGACCUGGUAUUGCAGUACUCCAGGAACCGGUGCACCUCUC
RNAcentral lists this small nuclear RNA (191 nucleotides) under Xenopus tropicalis (tropical clawed frog). RNAcentral describes it as "U2 spliceosomal RNA (ENSXETG00000043489.1)". It matches the Rfam family "U2 spliceosomal RNA". Rfam says of the family: U2 is a small nuclear RNA (snRNA) component of the spliceosome (involved in pre-mRNA splicing). Complementary binding between U2 snRNA (in an area lying towards the 5' end but 3' to hairpin I) and the branchpoint sequence (BPS) of the intron results the bulging out of an unpaired adenosine, on the BPS, which initiates a nucleophilic attack at the intronic 5' splice site, thus starting the first of two transesterification reactions that mediate splicing. Lineage: Eukaryota; Metazoa; Chordata; Amphibia; Anura; Pipidae. The record is from Rfam by way of RNAcentral.